Molecule: long non-coding RNA, 856 nt
Organism: Diospyros lotus (date-plum)
Lineage: Eukaryota; Viridiplantae; Streptophyta; Magnoliopsida; Ericales; Ebenaceae
Exons: 4
Source: RefSeq, a predicted model, not a curated record
CCAAAUAUAACCCUAACUCAUCCCUCUCCCCCCUUCUCUCUCUCUCCCUCCCUCUCCUGUGAACUACUCCCGCCGUCGACCCAUCCGCCGCUGCCGCCUCCUCCAGCUCGAUCGGGCUCCGCCUUCGCCGCUGCCAGAUCCGCCUCUGGUCGUCGCUGCUGCCUCCGCCUCUGGUCGCCGCAACUGCCGCCGCCUCCAGCUCGAUCGGGCUUCGCCUCCGUCGUUUCUAGAUCCGCCUCCGCCUUCAUCGCUGCCAGAUCCGCCUCAAAGGCAUUCCACCAAUGGAUAAUAGAACCAAGCCCAGUGCAGAUGCGGAAGAUCCUCCUCAAAAUCAAUCGGAUAUCCCACAACCAAAAACGUCUUUGUGGCUAACCAAACUAACAUCGGGGUACAGAAAGAUGUCUUUAGUCUCAGAGCACCCUAUACACAUGACCUCAUACGAAAGGAUGGAAAAAUGCUAUCUCAGUUCUUUUGUGUGUCCAAAGGUUGAUUUUCAUACGCGAUAACAUGAGGCAUCAUCACAUCAUUGAAGGUAGGUUGCCACAAUUGUCGAGCUCAUUGGUAGAAUAGAUUCAAGAAGCUAUUAAGACAGUUAUGAAAUCCUUUCACAAUCACCUGCCAACCAUUCAAGGUAGAUUGUCUCCCUGCCGUUGUCUUCAUCAUCACCACCCUAGAUCUUUCGGAUUAUUAAGAGUAUUCGUUAUUUGUAUGGAUGAUAGAAUUUAUUAUGUAUUUUAUUAUUUAUGAAUGUGUAAUUAGUAUGGAUAGAUUUUACAAUGUAUUUUUAAUAUUUAUGGAUGAUGUGUAUUACUUUAUGGAUUUAUUGUAUUGUAUGAAUGACUUUUUUUAGUUCGUA